Molecule: transfer RNA, 72 nt
Filed under: Solirubrobacterales bacterium
Lineage: Bacteria; Bacillati; Actinomycetota; Thermoleophilia; Solirubrobacterales
Description: tRNA-Trp
Rfam family: tRNA
About the family: Transfer RNA (tRNA) molecules are approximately 80 nucleotides in length. Their secondary structure includes four short double-helical elements and three loops (D, anti-codon, and T loops).
Source: RNAcentral
GGGGGAAUGAGUUAAUGGCGAUGCGCGCGGUCUCCAAAACCGUGAAUCUGGGUUCGAAUCCCAGUUCCCCCG